CGACCGGCGCACGGGUGAGUAACACGUAUCCAACCUGCCGAUAACUCGGGGAUAGCCUUUCGAAAGAAAGAUUAAUAUCCGAUAGGAUAUCAAGAUCGCAUGAUCUUGAUAUUAAAGAAUUUCGGUUAUCGAUGGGGAUGCGUUCCAUUAGUUAGUUGGCGGGGUAACGGCCCACCAAGACGACGAUGGAUAGGGGUUCUGAGAGGAAGGUCCCCCACAUUGGAACUGAGACACGGUCCAAACUCCUACGGAAGGCAGCAG
Molecule: ribosomal RNA, 261 nt
Filed under: uncultured bacterium
Lineage: Bacteria
Description: partial 16S ribosomal RNA
Rfam family: Bacterial small subunit ribosomal RNA
Source: RNAcentral